RNAcentral lists this long non-coding RNA (228 nucleotides) under Elaeis guineensis (African oil palm). RNAcentral's name for it is "long non-coding RNA (EGUI_LNC016733)". The record is from RNAcentral. Lineage: Eukaryota; Viridiplantae; Streptophyta; Magnoliopsida; Arecales; Arecaceae.
GGAUAAAGUACAAUAAGUUUUGAAUUCUUUGUUUGAUUUCUAUAGUGCCACACAAUCAUCUUCUAAUGUGCAAUCAAGUAUUCAAUCUCAAGAAAUAUAUAAGAUGGAGGUUGAUCAUGUAGAAGAUGUUGCAGAUUUCGUGGAUUCAUUGUAUACAAAGCAGCAAAUUGGCUAAAAAAAUGCAGAGAGCAAAAAUGAGUUGGAUAAAUAUUUAGGAGAGGAGUGUGA